RNAcentral lists this long non-coding RNA (1466 nucleotides) under Monodelphis domestica (gray short-tailed opossum). RNAcentral describes it as "lncRNA (ENSMODG00000033080.2)". The record is from RNAcentral. Lineage: Eukaryota; Metazoa; Chordata; Mammalia; Didelphimorphia; Didelphidae.
AUUGCCCUCUACUUUGGCAAAAAACCUGCUUUGCAUUCCUGCCAGACGUGAAAAUGAGUUAAGACUCCACCUCUCUGCUUUUACUACUCUUAGCUCCUCCCUCCCUAUUCUAAUUACUACCCAACCCCGCAGCUGUCCAGCAGCUGUAUGGAGAGGAAAAGGAAAACUGGGGGAACUGGAGUCAGGUCGGGGGAGUUUUUCCCUGGAGUAGUAGGGGGAGAGCUGAGUGGGGUUCAUCUCAUUGAGCUAGGAAGCUUGAACAAGACUUUUCUUCCCUUGGAAACCGGAUACCGUUUGCCAUUCGCCAGAGCUUCCAGCCUUAGGAAGUCACAUUGGAGGUUUGGGAUUUUUCUUGUGCGCAGGGGGUGUCUGAAGAACAGAUGACAAAGAGGACUGACUCCUGAGGCCUGAUUCCCCAACAUUUCACCUGCUGAUGCAGCAAAUCUGACUCUAUGGCUUCUUAUUUACUCAUGAGAAUAUGUUUUAUCUUAUACUUGACUUCUUUGAUUUCCACAAAUGAUUCAGAGUUUGCAGUCUUCCAAUGCCAGAAAAAAGUAACUGUUUGUAAAAAUGACGAGGCUACAUUAACCUGCAGCUCCACUCAGAAAUUUGAUGGGAUAGAAUUAUAUUUCCAUCAAGAGGACAAGAACAAAAACCGACUCCUCUUCAACAUGACUGGAGUUGGAAAGUCUUUUCAGCAUGGAAUGCAAUUUGAACUUCAGGAGAAAGUGGCCACGUUGGUGAUUAGGAACAUCCAAGUUUCCCAUCGGGGAUCUUACCAGUGGGUUCUUAUGGGCAAAGGAUCUUCAAACAAAUACACCAAACUAGAUGUUUUAGAAUCCCCUACUAUUUCCAAGGAGAAUGACACCCUGAUCUGUCAAGCAAUUCCGAGAAGUCAGAGGAGGAUAACUUGGUCCAAUGAUCUGCCAGAGUUCACAACCAAUCCAGAUACCACAGGUCUACUCAACCUCAGUAUCUCUCAAUCUUGGGAUGAUAGUUUCAAUGAUAAUCCACCCUGCUGUAAAAUCAUAGAAGAAGAGGACUCCCAAGAACUUUGUGCAGAAACUUGCUAUCACACUAGUACCUUUGCAAAACCAAUCUCAGGUAUUCCAGAGACACUCCAAAGAAAGAUUGUAUUGUGGCCUCUAUUAAUCAUCUCAAUUCUAAUUGCAAUUCUGUUUCUUGGCCUCAUAUGGCAUAAAAAAAUGAAAAAUAAAUCCAGUUGUUUUUUCAGAAAUGGACAUUAAUGACCUUAUCUUGGAAGAAGAAAUGAAAUAAGUCAUAAAGGAGCUCCUUAAGAACAAAAACAAACCACGGAACCUAGGAUUUACAAGUGAAUUUUGUAAAAAAAUUAAACAAUUAAUUUUUAGGGAGCAUGGAAUAAUUUACUUGUCAGAUAUAAGGAUGAGAAGAAUUUAUGAUCCAAGAAGACUUACAUGAAUAAAAGGUCUAAUUUCUCAAAUACA